This 73-nucleotide transfer RNA is filed under the name Heterocephalus glaber (naked mole-rat). It matches the Rfam family "tRNA". From Rfam's summary of the family: Transfer RNA (tRNA) molecules are approximately 80 nucleotides in length. Their secondary structure includes four short double-helical elements and three loops (D, anti-codon, and T loops). Lineage: Eukaryota; Metazoa; Chordata; Mammalia; Rodentia; Bathyergidae. The record is from Rfam by way of RNAcentral.
AGGGGUGUAGCUCAGUGGUAGACCACUUGCCCUAUAUGCAUGAGGCCCUGGGUUCCAAACCCCAGCACUGCAA